Molecule: unclassified non-coding RNA, 348 nt
Filed under: soil metagenome
Description: partial contains 5.8S ribosomal RNA, internal transcribed spacer 2, and large subunit ribosomal RNA
Rfam family: 5.8S ribosomal RNA (bases 1-120)
Source: RNAcentral
GAUGAAGAACGUAGCGAAAUGCGAUAAGUAGUGUGAAUUGCAGAAUUCAGUGAAUCAUCGAAUCUUUGAACGCACAUUGCGCCCGCCAGUAUUCUGGCGGGCAUGCCUGUCUGAGCGUCAUUUCAACCCUCAUGCCCCUAGGGCGUGGUGUUGGGGAUCGGCCAAAGCCCGCGAGGGACGGCCGGCCCCUAAAUCUAGUGGCGGACCCGUCGUGGCCUCCUCUGCGAAGUAGUGAUAUUCCGCAUCGGAGAGCGACGAGCCCCUGCCGUUAAACCCCCAACUUUCCAAGGUUGACCUCAGAUCAGGUAGGAAUACCCGCUGAACUUAAGCAUAUCAAUAAGCGGAGGA